RNAcentral lists this ribosomal RNA (451 nucleotides) under uncultured bacterium. RNAcentral describes it as "partial 16S ribosomal RNA". It matches the Rfam family "Bacterial small subunit ribosomal RNA", at positions 29 to 523 of the family's 1533-position model. The record is from RNAcentral.
AACGAACGCUGGCGGCAGGCUUAACACAUGCAAGUCGAGCGAGAUCUUCGGAUCUAGCGGCGGACGGGUGAGUAACGCGUGGGAACGUGCCCUUUUCUACGGAAUAGCCUCGGGAAACUGAGAGUAAUACCGUAUACGCCCAGUAAUGGGGAAAGAUUUAUCGGAGAAGGAUCGGCCCGCGUUAGAUUAGGUAGUUGGUGGGGUAAUGGCCUACCAAGCCGACGAUCUAUAGCUGGUUUGGGAGGAUGAUCAGCCACACUGGGACUGAGACACGGCCCAGACUCCUACGGGAGGCAGCAGUGGGGAAUCUUAGACAAUGGGGGCAACCCUGAUCUAGCCAUGCCGCGUGAGUGAUGAAGGCCUUAGGGUUGUAAAGCUCUUUCAGCUGGGAAGAUAAUGACGGUACCAGCAGAAGAAGCCCCGGCUAACUCCGUGCCAGCCGCCGCCGUAA